GCUUACGGCCACACCGCCUGGUUCACGCCCGAUCUAGUUUGAUCUCGGAAGCUAAGAUAGGGUGGGCCUGGUUAGUACUUGGAUGGGAGAUUGCCUGGGAAUACCAGGUGUUGUAAGAU
Molecule: ribosomal RNA, 119 nt
Filed under: Scophthalmus maximus (turbot)
Lineage: Eukaryota; Metazoa; Chordata; Actinopteri; Pleuronectiformes; Scophthalmidae
Source: RNAcentral